GGGGCUGUAGCUCAGUGGUAGAGCGCUUGCCUAGCAUGUGGGAGGCACUGGGUUCGAUCCUCAGCGCCA
RNAcentral lists this transfer RNA (69 nucleotides) under Ictidomys tridecemlineatus (thirteen-lined ground squirrel). RNAcentral's name for it is "Spermophilus tridecemlineatus (thirteen-lined ground squirrel) tRNA". It matches the Rfam family "tRNA". From Rfam's summary of the family: Transfer RNA (tRNA) molecules are approximately 80 nucleotides in length. Lineage: Eukaryota; Metazoa; Chordata; Mammalia; Rodentia; Sciuridae. The record is from Rfam by way of RNAcentral.